AUUGAACGCUGGCGGCAGGCCUAACACAUGCAAGUCGAGCGGAUGAAGGGAGCUUGCUCCUGGAUUCAGCGGCGGACGGGUGAGUAAUGCCUAGGAAUCUGCCUGGUAGUGGGGGAUAACGUCCGGAAACGGGCGCUAAUACCGCAUACGUCCUGAGGGAGAAAGUGGGGGAUCUUCGGACCUCACGCUAUCAGAUGAGCCUAGGUCGGAUUAGCUAGUUGGUGGGGUAAAGGCCUACCAAGGCGACGAUCCGUAACUGGUCUGAGAGGAUGAUCAGUCACACUGGAGCUGAGACACGGUCCAGACUCCUACGGGAGGCAGCAGUGGGGAAGAUUGGACAAUGGGCGAAAGCCUGAUCCAGCCAUGCCGCGUGUGUGAAGAAGGUCUUCGGAUUGUAAAGCACUUUAAGUUGGGAGGAAGGGCAGUAAGUUAAUACCUUGCUGUUUUGACGUUACCAACAGAAUAAGCACCGGCUAACUUCGU
Molecule: ribosomal RNA, 483 nt
Filed under: uncultured bacterium
Lineage: Bacteria
Description: partial 16S ribosomal RNA
Rfam family: Bacterial small subunit ribosomal RNA
Source: RNAcentral